UCCAAUAAACCAAUCCAAAGCCACAAAUAGAAAAUGAAUUUGGAUCAAAACCAGAUAUAACAACAAAAUAAUAAUUAAAAUAAAAAAAAACAAAAAAGAAUUAAAGUAUGAAUCAGAUUUACAAUGCAAAUCAAAAUCAACAGAAACCAACAAACAAACAAAAAAUAAAAAGAAAUAAAACAUUACAAAUGAAACUACAUUAAACAUAAACUGAUUAAGAAUUAAACGAAAAGCAGAAAUUGUAAAAAGACAGGAAUAGCAAGUCCGUGCACAAGAGAGGGGUUUUGGGGGUUAGACCCAUCCCAUUGCCGAUGUUCCGUACACUAGACGCCCAGCCGCCCUGUAACGUUUGCAUAAACUAUUUGGUAAAUUUAUAGAAUUAGUCAAUCGUUUAUUAAAAAUAAGAUCCAACUAGAUUAGACUGCUUUAAAAUGUUCCGCUAGCUUGCUCAAUCAACACCGACAAAGCCAUUAUACGUUCAACACGUGUUGUAAUACCGCCGUCGAUGAGUCGCACAUGACAGAGACGGACCACGAAGAACCGACCAUCGCGAAGUGCGUAGAGGCAAACCUCGACAAACGAUCAUCAUACGAACAGCGAUCGUCUAGACAGUACCACGAAGGUUCAACUUUUGCAAAGCGUAUGGAAGCAAGUCUCGACAACAGAUCACCGGACGCUGUGCAAUCGCCAAGAGAGUGAGUUACACGGAGGCUUCAAGUAUGACACUCACCCGAAGUAUAUCGAACGAAACCAACAAUUUGGACGAGGGAUCAAUUGGCGCAUGCAGCCUCUUGCCUCAGUGCACGCUAAUCGCCGAGGAAGAUCAGGCGCAAUUUUGUAGUUCGUCCGUAAAGAACGUUUCUCGCGUCGUGAAGUGCCCAGCGGCGCAAUAACCAACACCGGACUUCAAAGUUACACCAAACGAGCUUUGGAAAGGGCCCCAAAAAAGGGGCCUUUUGUUCCGGGCCAUUGUGCUAUUCGUAACACAUGGUUUGGCGAUUCAACGAGCGGACAUAUACACCUUUACGUCGAGAGGAGGGAAGUUGCAGACGUUCGGCGAUCACGCGGCCGGCCGGCGGUACGCGACGCAUGAUGAGCGGGUGUGAAGAACGCGUCGGGACGCCGACGAACGUUCUGGAACGUGAACGUUGGCUAGGGAGCAAGCGGCAUGGAUACCGGGGCGCCCCGCUAAAAAGUGAAGCAGAAUUGAUUAACAUGUAAGUGAAGAGAACAAAGGUGUAGGAAAGUAGGGAAUAGGAGUUAGGAGGAGAAAAGGGGUGGUUCACUUCAAUAAAUGUGUUAAAUUAGAACUUAUCGUUUCACUUUCAAGUUAGUUAGAGAGCGGCCAAGCAACUUCUGAUGACGUCAGGAGAUGACUUAAAAAACUGUAACAUUGGCGCCCAACCAAAAAACCCAUCAUUAGGAGAAAAUUAGUUGCAAAUGUUUAUUUGUUGUUAAUUGUUAUUUGUCGAACGAACUAGUUUAUAUGAGAAACUAAGGUUAGAUUCGGUUGUAUAGUUGAAGAGAGACUUAGGAGUGCAAACAAGAGCUUUGUUAGCGGCAGCUUUUGGCCACGGUAUGAUGGCGUCUGAUCACACCCUAUUUGCCAGGACUCGCUGGCGCGAUUAUUAUGUGGAUUUGUGGUAUUUUAGCUUUUAGAAUAUGAUCUGGUGAGCUAUAGGCUUACGUUAUUUAGUUGGUUUAGUCAAACUUAUUCUUGAGGUCUGCUCAAGGUACAUUAGUGAUUCACGCUGCCGUUAACCGACCUCUUAUCAUAGCGUCUUAUAGUUCUCUAAGAAUUUUUCAAGAAUCGAAACAUUUUGAUUCUUGAAAAAUUCUCGUUUGUUGGGGGAAUUGUGUAACGUUUGCAUAAACUAUUUGGUAAAUUUAUAGAAUUAGUCAAUCGUUUAUUAAAAAUAAGAUCCAACUAGAUUAGACUGCUUUAAAAUGUUCCGCUAGCUUGCUCAAUCAACACCGACAAAGCCAUUAUACGUUCAACACGUGUUGUAAUACCGCCGUCGAUGAGUCGCACAUGACAGAGACGGACCACGAAGAACCGACCAUCGCGAAGUGCGUAGAGGCAAACCUCGACAAACGAUCAUCAUACGAACAGCGAUCGUCUAGACAGUACCACGAAGGUUCAACUUUUGCAAAGCGUAUGGAAGCAAGUCUCGACAACAGAUCACCGGACGCUGUGCAAUCGCCAAGAGAGUGAGUUACACGGAGGCUUCAAGUAUGACACUCACCCGAAGUAUAUCGAACGAAACCAACAAUUUGGACGAGGGAUCAAUUGGCGCAUGCAGCCUCUUGCCUCAGUGCACGCUAAUCGCCGAGGAAGAUCAGGCGCAAUUUUGUAGUUCGUCCGUAAAGAACGUUUCUCGCGUCGUGAAGUGCCCAGCGGCGCAAUAACCAACACCGGACUUCAAAGUUACACCAAACGAGCUUUGGAAAGGGCCCCAAAAAAGGGGCCUUUUGUUCCGGGCCAUUGUGCUAUUCGUAACACAUGGUUUGGCGAUUCAACGAGCGGACAUAUACACCUUUACGUCGAGAGGAGGGAAGUUGCAGACGUUCGGCGAUCACGCGGCCGGCCGGCGGUACGCGACGCAUGAUGAGCGGGUGUGAAGAACGCGUCGGGACGCCGACGAACGUUCUGGAACGUGAACGUUGGCUAGGGAGCAAGCGGCAUGGAUACCGGGGCGCCCCGCUAAAAAGUGAAGCAGAAUUGAUUAACAUGUAAGUGAAGAGAACAAAGGUGUAGGAAAGUAGGGAAUAGGAGUUAGGAGGAGAAAAGGGGUGGUUCACUUCAAUAAAUGUGUUAAAUUAGAACUUAUCGUUUCACUUUCAAGUUAGUUAGAGAGCGGCCAAGCAACUUCUGAUGACGUCAGGAGAUGACUUAAAAAACUGUAACAUUGGCGCCCAACCAAAAAACCCAUCAUUAGGAGAAAAUUAGUUGCAAAUGUUUAUUUGUUGUUAAUUGUUAUUUGUCGAACGAACUAGUUUAUAUGAGAAACUAAGGUUAGAUUCGGUUGUAUAGUUGAAGAGAGACUUAGGAGUGCAAACAAGAGCUUUGUUAGCGGCAGCUUUUGGCCACGGUAUGAUGGCGUCUGAUCACACCCUAUUUGCCAGGACUCGCUGGCGCGAUUAUUAUGUGGAUUUGUGGUAUUUUAGCUUUUAGAAUAUGAUCUGGUGAGCUAUAGGCUUACGUUAUUUAGUUGGUUUAGUCAAACUUAUUCUUGAGGUCUGCUCAAGGUACAUUAGUGAUUCACGCUGCCGUUAACCGACCUCUUAUCAUAGCGUCUUAUAGUUCUCUAAGAAUUUUUCAAGAAUCGAAACAUUUUGAUUCUUGAAAAAUUCUCGUUUGUUGGGGGAAUUGUGUAACGUUUGCAUAAACUAUUUGGUAAAUUUAUAGAAUUAGUCAAUCGUUUAUUAAAAAUAAGAUCCAACUAGAUUAGACUGCUUUAAAAUGUUCCGCUAGCUUGCUCAAUCAACACCGACAAAGCCAUUAUACGUUCAACACGUGUUGUAAUACCGCCGUCGAUGAGUCGCACAUGACAGAGACGGACCACGAAGAACCGACCAUCGCGAAGUGCGUAGAGGCAAACCUCGACAAACGAUCAUCAUACGAACAGCGAUCGUCUAGACAGUACCACGAAGGUUCAACUUUUGCAAAGCGUAUGGAAGCAAGUCUCGACAACAGAUCACCGGACGCUGUGCAAUCGCCAAGAGAGUGAGUUACACGGAGGCUUCAAGUAUGACACUCACCCGAAGUAUAUCGAACGAAACCAACAAUUUGGACGAGGGAUCAAUUGGCGCAUGCAGCCUCUUGCCUCAGUGCACGCUAAUCGCCGAGGAAGAUCAGGCGCAAUUUUGUAGUUCGUCCGUAAAGAACGUUUCUCGCGUCGUGAAGUGCCCAGCGGCGCAAUAACCAACACCGGACUUCAAAGUUACACCAAACGAGCUUUGGAAAGGGCCCCAAAAAAGGGGCCUUUUGUUCCGGGCCAUUGUGCUAUUCGUAACACAUGGUUUGGCGAUUCAACGAGCGGACAUAUACACCUUUACGUCGAGAGGAGGGAAGUUGCAGACGUUCGGCGAUCACGCGGCCGGCCGGCGGUACGCGACGCAUGAUGAGCGGGUGUGAAGAACGCGUCGGGACGCCGACGAACGUUCUGGAACGUGAACGUUGGCUAGGGAGCAAGCGGCAUGGAUACCGGGGCGCCCCGCUAAAAAGUGAAGCAGAAUUGAUUAACAUGUAAGUGAAGAGAACAAAGGUGUAGGAAAGUAGGGAAUAGGAGUUAGGAGGAGAAAAGGGGUGGUUCACUUCAAUAAAUGUGUUAAAUUAGAACUUAUCGUUUCACUUUCAAGUUAGUUAGAGAGCGGCCAAGCAACUUCUGAUGACGUCAGGAGAUGACUUAAAAAACUGUAACAGCCCUUUACCAAAAUUAGUCAAAAUCCCUCCCUUGUCACCUUUUCUGUGUACGGGCCUGAGGAACAGAAUCAUAGCAUAAACGAUAAGAUAUGGAACCAGAACCGGAACAUAACCAGGAUGCGAACGAGAUCAUAAAUAUUUGAAUCAGGAAAAACAAAUCGAGAGCCACAAAUAGAAAGAGGAUGACAAACAAAACUAUAUACGAAAUCCAAAUUGGCAAAAAAAAAAAAAAAGAAAACCAGGAUGGAAGCUUAAACCAGAUUCACAAUGAAAACAAACAAUAAAAUUAAAAAAAGGUGAAUGAAAAAGUAACAUCAGAAAAAAAGUAGAUAUAUGGAUGAACACCAAACACUACCGAACACAACCAGUUAAUAAAAAUGGAAACGCAAAGCAGAGCUAAAAAACACACAUAAAACAAGUUCAGAACCAUAGCAGUAAAAAAGUGAAAACUUAUUAAAUUUAUAAAUAUCAUGGAACUAAAACCAGAACGAAAACAUAACAAGCACCAUCAUCAGAAUGAUUGGAACUAAAAAAAAACAAAUUCGGAAACAUAAAUAGAAAAGAUAAGAAGUAAAAUCAGAAACAAAUAAACCAGCAAUUUCAUAAAAAAAAUAAUCAAAAACAUAAAUAUAACAUGAAUAGAGAUUGAAUUAGAAAUUAAUACCAAAACCACCACGAGAACUAAAACCAGACAAACCAUCUGAACCAGACUUUGCACUAGUUUCAGAACCAAAACGAAAAUUAUAAUCAUAAUUGUAAUCAGAAAUGCAUCCAGACUCUGUACAAGAACUGAAAAAGUACAAGAGGCAAAACGAAACUCCACAGCAAAAAAACAGAACGAAACAGUAACAGAAGUUUGCCCUGAGUAAGGUUUAAGCGACUCUGAAUUGAAAACUGUUAAACUGGUUAUCAGCUCACGGUCAUCAACUAACCUCAAGCAUGCGAGCUUUCUCCAGAAAACCAACAGCCACAUAACUACAUCCUCGUUAGUCUUCGUCAACUGUCAACCGCGGAUAACGGCGGCGACCGUACAUCCGUAGUGGAUUUUCGACUUACACAUUCCGUGAAAAAUGUGGCCCCAUAAGUCCACUGGUCGUCAUCGUGGUUGUAGUUGUCUUCCGCAAUU
Molecule: long non-coding RNA, 5552 nt
Organism: Aedes albopictus (Asian tiger mosquito)
Lineage: Eukaryota; Metazoa; Arthropoda; Insecta; Diptera; Culicidae
Exons: 4
Source: RefSeq, a predicted model, not a curated record